Gouania willdenowi (blunt-snouted clingfish) is the source of this 1079-nucleotide long non-coding RNA. The record is from Ensembl. Lineage: Eukaryota; Metazoa; Chordata; Actinopteri; Blenniiformes; Gobiesocidae.
AUGGCACCCUCUGCUGGCCUCGUGAUGUCAAUGUCAGGAAGUGUUUCAAUCAGUCUUUCUGUGUUAACCUCCCAGUCAUUAGGGCCUCUGGAGGUCUCCACAGGUUGUUGCAGACUGUGUUCUUCCUCUAUCUGCAGAAUAGCCCUACCCGCAGAGAUGACACAGCCAUUGUUGGCCAACAUUGUGCGAGGCUCCCUCCGUUCUUUGGGCUGUUCAACAGGGUCCCUUUGUGUUGGAGGAGGCUGUGGUACCCCCCUGGCGGCUAUCAGGGCCUCCGCAUGUUCCACCACCUCCUGGCUGAGGCGUGGCAGGUUUCUGUACGCCCAGCGUGUGGCAACUUCAAAGGCCGGCCCCCAGUUUGCAGGUAAGUCCACCUCCAACUCCUUCAACAUGGUCUCCAGACUGUCUUUGUAGUGGUUUUCUAGGAUUAACAGCGUGUUGUAACCCCAGUUUUGAGCAUUUCCAUAAAUCAGAUUCAUGGUAGUAUCUGUAGGAAAUGCUGGUUUUAUCAUGGAGCCUAAAUUUUCAACCAUCUUUGUGAUCAUGCGUGGUUCUGGUUUUCCUGGUUUAGGAGCCACAUUUUGGAGAUGGUGAACCAGUUUGAUCACCGGAUACAUUUUGCGUACCAGUUUUCCAAAUACCGGGUCAGUCGGAUCUCGGUUAUUACCUCCACCCUGUCUGAGGUCAAAGGUCACUGAUCUCUGUCUUUUACGUGCAGGUAUGUACCUACCAUCACGCACCACCGCUGCAUAGGAGCGUUUAUGAGGUCGGGGGGCUCGCUCUGAGCCGUGGGGAGGCACUGGCUGGUUAGGAUGGGGGAAGUGUGCCCCUCCUCUGUGAGGAUUGGGCGGUGCACGGUCCAUCCCCCGGUCGUACGCUCGACCCCCGGGUCCCCUGUCCCAGCUGCGUUGGUGGAGAGGUCUGGCUCUCCUACCGUAAUGGACCACAGUCCACUCACCCAUCACGGUAAGUAUUUUUUUAAUUUUGGGUCGCCUUUGUUAUCUAAUAAUAAUAUUUUUUUCAGGUCGCCUUUGUUAUAUAAUAAUAAAUGUUUUUUUUGGUUUUUUUUAAAUUUUUUA